This 523-nucleotide ribosomal RNA is filed under the name uncultured Prevotella sp. Its description in RNAcentral is "partial 16S ribosomal RNA". It matches the Rfam family "Bacterial small subunit ribosomal RNA", at positions 28 to 538 of the family's 1533-position model. Lineage: Bacteria; Pseudomonadati; Bacteroidota; Bacteroidia; Bacteroidales; Prevotellaceae. The record is from RNAcentral.
GAUGAACGCUAGCUAUAGGCUUAACACAUGCAAGUUGAGGGGAAACGGCAAAGAGUGCUUGCACACUUUGGACGUCGACCGGCGCACGGGUGAGUAACGCGUAUCCAACCUGCCCUUUACUUGGGGAUAACCCGUUGAAAGACGGACUAAUACCCAAUGAUAUUCAUUGAUGACAUCUGAUUUGAAUUAAAGAUUUAUCGGUAUAGGAUGGGGAUGCGUCUGAUUAGCUUGUUGGUGAGGUAACGGCUCACCAAGGCAACGAUCAGUAGGGGUUCUGAGAGGAAGGUCCCCCACAUUGGAACUGAGACACGGUCCAAACUCCUACGGGAGGCAGCAGUGAGGAAUAUUGGUCAAUGGACGAGAGUCUGAACCAGCCAAGUAGCGUGCAGGAUGACGGCCCUAUGGGUUGUNAACUGNNUUUGUUUGGGAAUAAUCGACAUUACGUGUAAUGUCNUGCAUGNNNCAUUCNAAUAAGGACCGGCUAAUUCCGUGCCAGCCGCCGNNGNAACACGGANNNNCNNNG